AUUGAACGCUGGCGGCAUGCCUUACACAUGCAAGUCGAACGGCAGCACGGGGGCAACCCUGGUGGCGAGUGGCGAACGGGUGAGUAAUACAUCGGAACGUGCCCAGUAGUGGGGGAUAGCUCGGCGAAAGCCGGAUUAAUACCGCAUACGACCUACGGGUGAAAGCGGGGGAUCGCAAGACCUCGCGCUAUUGGAGCGGCCGAUGUCAGAUUAGGUUGUUGGUGGGGUAAAAGCCCACCAAGCCGACGAUCUGUAGCUGGUCUGAGAGGACGACCAGCCACACUGGGACUGAGACACGGCCCAGACUCCUACGGGAGGCAGUAGUGGGGAAUUUUGGACAAUGGGCGAAAGCCUGAUCCAGCCAUGCCGCGUGCGGGAAGAAGGCCUUCGGGUUGUAAACCGCUUUUGUCAGGGAAGAAAUCUCCUGAAUUAAUACCUCGGGAGGAUGACGGUACCUGAAGAAUAAGCACCGGCUAACUACGUGC
RNAcentral lists this ribosomal RNA (485 nucleotides) under uncultured bacterium. Its description in RNAcentral is "bacterial SSU rRNA". It matches the Rfam family "Bacterial small subunit ribosomal RNA", at positions 30 to 508 of the family's 1533-position model. The record is from RNAcentral.